GAUAACAGUACAACACAACAAAAGGCUAUCUGACCAAGGUAGAUACACAGACGGCCUGCGAUGACAACGGGGAAGUUGAAUAACUAUGUCACCGGAUGCUCACGAUGGAUGUAACUCGCACCUGUUCGCCAGGUCAACGAGUCAGAUGACACUGAACCGUAUUGUCCUCUCUGCUCAACUGCCUGCACAGAUAUAUAUUCAAGAUACGAUUAUUUGGAUGAAAACCGCGAUAAGGUGGAUUUGAUCAUCAGACACUUUGCAGAUGGAUUAAACACGGAUCUGGCUGGACAAGUACAUCAAUUACAUAGGGCCAGUUCAAAUCAGAGACGUCGCUGUCAGCGUGUAUCCUACGAGACAUCAUCAGCACCACGACAUCACCAACAUCGUCAACAUCGUUGUUCAUCAGCUGUGAUUGUCAUGACAACCCAAUCAAUGCAACAGCUAGUUUCAUCUCUGGAGAAGGUCCUCACACCGCAGUCACUCGUGGUGAACGACAUACAGUCUCCAUCUACAGCAGCACUUACAGCGACAUCUUUACCCACGUCAGCAGCAGCGACGUCCACAACGGCUCCCGUCGUUACUUCUACCUAUGAGUCGUUUCCUCCUUUACCAACAACCCCACCUAAACGUGUCGCGGAACAGAGACCCUCCAGUUUUUGGACUGACUACAACAGCGUUGUCCUGACCAUGGCGUAUAUGAAUGAGUAUCCGCUGAUGGCUCCAUAAACAAACACUUAUGGUCGUGACAAGAGAAUAUCUCUGAAGGACCGUUUGUCAUUGGACAAACGCCCUGGUUGAACCAUAACAUAAAUUGUAUUUAGAUUUAUAUUGGUGAGUUUGGGUUAUUCGUUGCUAUCAGCAACAUCCCUGCAAUUGCUGAGAACAACGCAAUAAAUGGGCUUCUGUGUUACGAAUCGACCCGAGUCUUCAGCACGACGAGCAAACGAGUUCCCACCACCCAACAUGAUUUUAAUACAUCAAUGUAGUUUGUAAUAAGUGGUUAAAGGAAAUCCUUAUGCACGUGGCCAACCUUUUGAUAUCUUUCACCGUUAUUAUCACGUUUAUAUGUAUAAUUACAUCUUCCUAAAACCAUUUAAUCCGCGUUAUGUAUCAUUUCCUAUUUUAUUAACAGCCGUUCCAACUUCCGUUGUUUAAUAUACAGCACGACAUGUUUAAUCUUUUCCACUGUUUACGUUUAAAUAAUAAACUUCAGUACAUAACAUC
RNA transcript from Haliotis rubra (blacklip abalone), 1224 nucleotides. RefSeq lists it as uncharacterized. Lineage: Eukaryota; Metazoa; Mollusca; Gastropoda; Lepetellida; Haliotidae. The transcript has 4 exons. The record is from RefSeq and is a predicted model, not a curated record.